RNAcentral lists this ribosomal RNA (439 nucleotides) under uncultured bacterium. RNAcentral describes it as "bacterial SSU rRNA". It matches the Rfam family "Bacterial small subunit ribosomal RNA", at positions 355 to 786 of the family's 1533-position model. The record is from RNAcentral.
UAGGGAAUCUUCCACAAUGGGCGAAAGCCUGAUGGAGCAACGCCGCGUGAGUGAAGAAGGUUUUCGGAUCGUAAAGCUCUGUUGUUGGUGAAGAAGGAUAGAGGUAGUAACUGGCCCCUAUUUGACGGUAAUCAACCAGAAAGUCACGGCUAACUACGUGCCAGCAGCCGCGGUAAUACGUAGGUGGCAAGCGUUGUCCGGAUUUACUGGGUGUAAAGGGUGCGUAGGCGGUUUGGUAAGUCAGAAGUGAAAUCCAUGGGCUUAACCCAUGAACUGCUUUGAAACUGUAUCUCUUGAGUGCUGGAGAGGUAGACGGAAUUCCUUGUGUAGCGGUGAAAUGCGUAGAUAUAAGGAAGAACACCAGUGGCGAAGGCGGUCUACUGGACAGUAACUGACGCUGAGGCGCGAAAGCGUGGGGGAGCAAACAGGAUUAGAUACC